AUUAUUUUGGCAGAAUAGUGCAUUAAAUUUAGAAUUUAAUUAUAUAUUAAAAUUUAAUAUAAAUAAUA
Molecule: transfer RNA, 68 nt
Filed under: Allorhynchium sp. GX
Lineage: Eukaryota; Metazoa; Arthropoda; Insecta; Hymenoptera; Vespidae
Description: tRNA-Leu
Source: RNAcentral